AGGUGACUGUCCAUCCAGGUGACCAUCCAUCCAGGUGACCAUCCAUCCAGGUGACUAUCUAGCUGGGUGACCAUCUAUCCAGGUGAACAUCCAUCCAGGCGACUGUCUAGCUGGGUGACCAUCUAUCCAGGUGACCAUCCGUCCAGGUGACUGUCCAUCCAGGUGACCAUCCAUCCAGGUGACUAUCUAGCUGGGUGACCAUCUAUCCAGGUGACCAUCCAUCCAGGUGACCAUCCAUCCAGGUGACUAUCUAGCCGGGUGACCAUCUAUCCAGGUGACCAUCCAUCCAGGUGACCAUCUAUCC
This 304-nucleotide long non-coding RNA is filed under the name Homo sapiens (human). Its description in RNAcentral is "HSALNT0309770". Lineage: Eukaryota; Metazoa; Chordata; Mammalia; Primates; Hominidae. The record is from RNAcentral.